This 301-nucleotide ribosomal RNA is filed under the name uncultured bacterium. Its description in RNAcentral is "partial 16S ribosomal RNA". It matches the Rfam family "Bacterial small subunit ribosomal RNA", at positions 509 to 807 of the family's 1533-position model. The record is from RNAcentral.
CAGCCGCCACGGGAAUACGUAGGGUGCAAGCGUUAAUCGGAAUUACUGGGCGUAAAGCGUGCGCAGGCGGUUUUGUAAGACAGAGGUGAAAUCCCCGGGCUCAACCUGGGAACUGCCUUUGUGACUGCAAGGCUAGAGUACGGCAGAGGGGGAUGGAAUUCCGCGUGUAGCAGUGAAAUGCGUAGAUAUGCGGAGGAACACCGAUGGCGAAGGCAAUCCCCUGGGCCUGUACUGACGCUCAUGCACGAAAGCGUGGGGAGCAAACAGGAUUAGAUACCCCGGUAGUCCCUGUCUCUUAUAC